Molecule: long non-coding RNA, 456 nt
Filed under: Piliocolobus tephrosceles (Ugandan red Colobus)
Lineage: Eukaryota; Metazoa; Chordata; Mammalia; Primates; Cercopithecidae
Description: lncRNA (ENSPTEG00000019225.1)
Source: RNAcentral
AGUGUAAGGAAAAAACGGAAAAAAAAAAGAAUCGAAUCGGCUAGGAAUUAAAUUUUAUUAUUUCCAUUCAUAUUAAUAAUUAUAAUCUAUAAUUAAAUAUUAUGUAAUAUUUUAUACCGUUAUUUUAUUUUAUUUUUUCAGCCUUUUCUUUUAUUUUCCGUUUAUCGCUCAAACGAUAGCAUUGAAAAACAUUAAUUAUUAUAACUACGGCUUAUUCCCAUUUUUAAUGAUUAUUUUGUCUAUAUAUAUAAAAUUAUUAUCCGUAACCUUAUUUUAUGUAAACUUGAUAGGACAUAUGUUUCUACUAUUAAUUGUUCCUGCGUUUUUUGUAAAAAAACACAAUUUGAGGACGUAAGUGUCAAAAAUUUAUAUAUACAUAUAUAUAUAUAUAGAGAGAGAGAGAGAGAGAGAGAGAGCACAAAUUAGAAAAAAAUAAAAUAAUAAAGUAUUACUUCA